RNAcentral lists this unclassified non-coding RNA (262 nucleotides) under Clostridioides difficile. Its description in RNAcentral is "16S-23S ribosomal RNA intergenic spacer". The record is from RNAcentral. Lineage: Bacteria; Bacillati; Bacillota; Clostridia; Peptostreptococcales; Peptostreptococcaceae.
AAGGAGAAUUACCUACUGUUUAAUUUUGAGGGUUCGUUUUUACGAAUGCUCAAAAUUAGCACUUUAAGCAACGGGAUUUAUCCGUUGGCGCUGUGCGUUAGCACUUUAAGCAACGGAAUUUAUUCGUUGGCGCUGUGCAUUAGCACUUUGAAAACUGCAUAUAUAUAUUUAGUGAUAUGACAUCUAAUUUGUAAUAUAUAAAGCUGAUAACUUUUUAAAAUUAUCGAAGUUGAUAGCUUCUAAUCUAUCAAACCUUUUUAAC